AUUGAACGCUGGCGGCAUGCCUUACACAUGCAAGUCGAACGGCAGCACGGGAGCAAUCCUGGUGGCGAGUGGCGAACGGGUGAGUAAAGUAUCGGAACGUGCCCAGUCGUGGGGGAUAACGUAGCGAAAGUUACGCUAAUACCGCAUACGAUCUAUGGAUGAAAGCGGGGGAUCGCAAGACCCUGCGCGAUUGGAGCGGCCGAUAUCAGAUGAGGUAGUUGGUGGGGUAAAGGCUCACCAAGCCGACGAUCUGUAGCUGGUCUGAGAGGACGACCAGCCACACUGGUACUGAGACACGGCCCAGACUCCUACGGGAGGCAGCAGUGGGGAAUUUUAGACAAUGGGCGAAAGCCUGAUCCAGCCAUGCCGCGUGCAGGAUGAAGGCCUUCGGGUUGUAAACUGCUUUUGUACGGAACGAAAAGGUUUGGCCUAAUAAGCUGAGCUCAUGACGGUACCGUAAGAAUAAGCACCGGCUAACUACGUGCCAGCCGCCGCCGUAA
This 500-nucleotide ribosomal RNA is filed under the name uncultured bacterium. RNAcentral's name for it is "partial 16S ribosomal RNA". It matches the Rfam family "Bacterial small subunit ribosomal RNA", at positions 30 to 523 of the family's 1533-position model. The record is from RNAcentral.